UCUCCGUUGGUGAACCAGCGGAGGGAUCAUUAGCGAGUUCUAAACUCCCAACCCUCGUGGACACACCUAUCGUUGCUUCGGCAGGGCGCCUCCGGGCGCUGCCCUAGGGCACCCGCCGGCGGCACGCAAACCAAACUCUGUAUUCUGGCUGUAUUCUGAGUAGACUACAAAUAAGUCAAAACUUUCAGCAACGGAUCUCUUGGUUCUG
This 208-nucleotide unclassified non-coding RNA is filed under the name soil metagenome. RNAcentral's name for it is "partial contains small subunit ribosomal RNA, internal transcribed spacer 1, and 5.8S ribosomal RNA". The record is from RNAcentral.